RNAcentral lists this transfer RNA (72 nucleotides) under Mus musculus (house mouse). It matches the Rfam family "tRNA". Rfam says of the family: Transfer RNA (tRNA) molecules are approximately 80 nucleotides in length. Their secondary structure includes four short double-helical elements and three loops (D, anti-codon, and T loops). The record is from Rfam by way of RNAcentral. RNAcentral also lists the same sequence under 1 other name. Lineage: Eukaryota; Metazoa; Chordata; Mammalia; Rodentia; Muridae.
GGAGAUAGGGCUCAGUGGUAGAGCACUUGCCUAUCAUGCACCAAGUCCAGGGUUCAAUUCCCAGUGCUGCCA